This is a non-coding RNA of Acanthosepion pharaonis, 96 nucleotides long. NCBI's taxonomy places the organism in Eukaryota, Metazoa, Mollusca, Cephalopoda, Sepiida, Sepiidae. The record is from the annotation of a GenBank genome assembly.
UAAAAUCCAGCUUCCCGUAUGAUCACCGUAGUUAAGCAACCUCGAGCCUUGUCAGUACCUAGAUGGGUGACCCUUGGGAAUACCAGGUGCUGCUAU